AAGGAGUUAAGUUAAUUGAGACUUUCAGCCUUCAAAGCUGGCAGUGAAGGUGUCUUCAGUCCUUA
RNAcentral lists this transfer RNA (65 nucleotides) under Epigonichthys maldivensis. Its description in RNAcentral is "tRNA-Trp". It matches the Rfam family "tRNA". Rfam says of the family: Transfer RNA (tRNA) molecules are approximately 80 nucleotides in length. Their secondary structure includes four short double-helical elements and three loops (D, anti-codon, and T loops). Further hydrogen bonds mediate the characteristic L-shaped molecular structure. tRNAs have two regions of fundamental functional importance: the anti-codon, which is responsible for specific mRNA codon recognition, and the 3' end, to which the tRNAs corresponding amino acid is attached (by aminoacyl-tRNA synthetases). tRNAs cope with the degeneracy of the genetic code in two manners: having more than one tRNA (with a specific anti-codon) for a particular amino acid; and 'wobble' base-pairing, i.e. permitting non-standard base-pairing at the 3rd anti-codon position. The record is from RNAcentral. Lineage: Eukaryota; Metazoa; Chordata; Leptocardii; Amphioxiformes; Branchiostomatidae.